This 296-nucleotide ribosomal RNA is filed under the name uncultured Gammaproteobacteria bacterium. RNAcentral's name for it is "partial 16S ribosomal RNA". It matches the Rfam family "Bacterial small subunit ribosomal RNA", at positions 35 to 329 of the family's 1533-position model. The record is from RNAcentral. Lineage: Bacteria; Pseudomonadati; Pseudomonadota; Gammaproteobacteria.
GCUGGCGGCAUGCCUAACACAUGCAAGUCGAACGGCAGCGCGGGGAGCUUGCUCCCUGGCGGCGAGUGGCGAACGGGUGAGUAAUGCUUGGGAAUCUGCCCUGUAGUGGGGGACAACCCGGGGAAACUCGGGCUAAUACCGCAUACGUCCUACGGGAGAAAGCGGGGGAUCUUCGGACCUCGCGCUAUAGGAUGAGCCCAAGUCGGAUUAGCUAGUUGGUGGGGUAAAAGCCUACCAAGGCAACGAUCCGUAGCUGGUCUGAGAGGACGAUCAGCCACACUGGGACUGAGACACGG